AAGGUCAGACAACCUUCCCAUACUUCGGCAAGCUCAUCAGCAAUGCCUUUCCUUUUCUGCUUAGAACUGAGUCCUCGCACAGCUCGGCCCUUUUCCCCUUUUCUUCCUUUCCUCCGUUGUGGAUUCAAAGCAGUGCCACUUGUGUCUUACGCUUUUGCGAUUGCUUUUGCUAUUGCUUUUGCAGAUCCUCCUGCGGCAUCGGCACCUUGGGAUGGUAGUUGGCUUACGGGUGAAGGUUUAAACUGGAUGCCUCAUGGAACUCGCCGCCUAUGUGAUGAAUGAUCCUCCGGGGUCUUCGCCGAAUAUCCAUACCUAAUCGGGCAUCCAGAUCAAGAUGUGGGUGUCCAUGGUUGGUUGAGAGAGGAAGUAUAAAGGAAUCUAUCUUUUAUGCACUUAGUAUGUGAAGUCAGGUGCUGUACCUUUUCUUCCUUAUUAGCGGGGUUUACCCCGUGUCAGGUGCUGUGGAACAUAAAUGUAUAUGUGUGAACAGCUGGUCAUACACUCCUGCCUCUAUUAGGAUGAAGGUCUUUCCAAAAGACGGAGACGUCGGGGUGACUAAUAUAGUAUUACCUCAACUAAGCACCUCUAUUAUGUAUUUAUAAACUUACAGUAACUAAUACUGUGUUACCUCUGCUAAAUUUAUAUGUGCAUAAUCGAUCUGCGUGAUUGUGAUUAUUAUUGUUACCAUUUUUUCCAUGUUUUUAAGCCUAUACAUACGUCUACAGGUGGAAAUUUCAUUUUUGAUAUGAGAAAUCAAACAAUCGAUAAAGACAUACAUACCAUUUCCAAAAAGUUACUCGUUACAAUCUUAGUCGGGAUCUGAGGUCCAAUUUAAGAUGGCUGGUGACAAGAAAAAGAGACCGGUUUGUGUUUUGCAGGUUGAAGCCGCUGCGGCGAUUUUCAGUGGUUCGAUUUGCAUGAGCGGGUGUAGGAGGUUCGAGGAUUCGGUGUCCUCUGCCACACGGGUAGACUUUUUUCAUGCUUAGAAUCGUGACAACCGUGACACUUCACACAUGUGCUAAUUCAUUUUUCCUAUGUAUGCUCAAGGUUCUCGUGUGUGCCGAGUUCACAACGACUUGGUUUCAAUUGCGUUGUUUUUGUGUAUAUCUUUGCACUGCGUUUGUUUCUCCCGGCACUCAAAAUCCAGAACUGGGUUCGUCUUAUUCAAGCAUUAUGGUCAUCCAAAUAACCAAUUCGUCUCACAACGUCCGAGGCAUUUCAUAACUAUAUGAAUCGGCGACAGAGAUAAGUAGGGGAUGCAACGCUUUGACUCUCGCUCAUACCUCAUCGAUUCACUCUCAUGGCCAGCGUCAAGGUCACGGCAAGCACCCGUUGCCCGAGAUUCCUCCUCUCAGGAAAGCAAAGAGCAUUUCAAACCACCAAAAAUGUUAACAAUGCAUUGAGCACGAUUCUAGGAACGCGGCUGGCUGGAGCCUCCACGUACAUGAUGGCAGUUGAUCAGUCAAACUGAAGGUGAUGUUGUCAAGCGGAACCGGUCAAUGUCCACCUCGUUGCGGUGGCGUUGAACUCGGAUAACGCAUUCACUCUUGUUUAUGAUCAUCUCAUCACACCUUCUGUUGUUUCGUCCGGACCCAGCUUCCUCCCUCCCUCCCUCCCUAUUCUUCUGCUCGUUGUCCACACCGGUUUGUUUUAUCAACCCCACCUUCUUUUCUCAAAUUGGCUGACACAGCUUGCUCUGGUUCAUGCUUUGUAUUUCGAACCUGGGUUCAAAGGGUUGCGGUAGCCCAGUUUAGUCAUUCUCCUUCGAAAUCUAAACUCAGAUUACAUACGAUUGCGCACAGCACGCCUGGAAUGAUGCUUGAGGUGUGAGAAAAGGUG
Molecule: long non-coding RNA, 1839 nt
Filed under: Physcomitrium patens
Lineage: Eukaryota; Viridiplantae; Streptophyta; Bryopsida; Funariales; Funariaceae
Description: long non-coding RNA (PPAT_LNC002149)
Source: RNAcentral